This 832-nucleotide long non-coding RNA is filed under the name Homo sapiens (human). RNAcentral describes it as "HSALNT0372546". Lineage: Eukaryota; Metazoa; Chordata; Mammalia; Primates; Hominidae. The record is from RNAcentral.
AGCCUGUCCAGGGAUUCAGGCUGGAACAGCUGGCGAGGCCUAUGAGCAGGUUUACUGCUGGAGUCCUUGGGUGCCAUAAUCUUUCACCUGGGUUCCUUAGCUCUUGUGAAGGUAUCUUCAUGCAUGGAUGGUAGUUCAAACUGAUGUUUCUUUGAAAGACUCUGGCCUUGUCAAAAGAAGGACGUAAGAAGGCACGAUGUAUUAUACUUGGGAAUGAUAGAAGAGACUGACCUGGUAUUUCCACCCGGAAGAGGGAAAGGAUUUUAACUACAAAUACAGGAAUCCAGCAGAUGGCAUCAGAGAACACUAUAAAAAAGAAACGAUUUGCAACAGCCACCUCUCUUCCAAAACAAUUCCUUACUUCUGUGGUCUGCAAGGCGGUUUUUUGAAUGGAACAGAACAUAGUAAUAUAGGAAAACACAAUGAUGAGAAAAGCCAGCAAGUUCACACCUGUUGGGAAAAGCACACUUUUAACAUCUCAGGCGUAAAAGUCAACAGUAAAAUUACUGUGGUACAGGUUGAGUAUCCCUUACCCAAAAUGUUUGAAACCAGAAAUGUUUUGGAUUUCGGAUUUCGGAAUAUUUACACAUUCAUAAUGAUAUAUCUUGGAAAUGGUUCCCAAGUCUAAACACAAAAUUUAUUUAUGUUUCAUAUACACCUUAUACACAUAGUCUGAAAGUAAUUUUGUACAAUAUUUUAAAUAAUUUUGGGCAUGAAACAAAGUUUGCAUACAUUGAACCAUCAGACAGCAAAAGCUUCAGGUGUGGAAUUUUCCACUUGUGGCAUCAUGUUGAUGCUCAAAAAGUUCCAUAUUUUAGAGCAUUUCAAAUUU